This 291-nucleotide ribosomal RNA is filed under the name Burkholderiales bacterium. RNAcentral describes it as "partial 23S ribosomal RNA". It matches the Rfam family "Bacterial large subunit ribosomal RNA", at positions 2648 to 2925 of the family's 2925-position model. The record is from RNAcentral. Lineage: Bacteria; Pseudomonadati; Pseudomonadota; Betaproteobacteria; Burkholderiales.
UGGGCGUUGGAAAUUUGACGGGGGCUGCUCCUAGUACGAGAGGACCGGAGUGGACGUACCGCUGGUGUACCUGGUGUUUCGCCAGAAGCAUCGCAGGGUAGCUAAGUACGGAAAAGAUAACCGCUGAAAGCAUCUAAGCGGGAAACUUGCCUGAAGAUAAGAUUUCCCGGGGGUUUAACCCCCUUGAAGGGUCGUUCGAGACCAGGACGUUGAUAGGCACCGUGUGGAAGCGUGGUAACACGUUAAGCUAAGGUGUACUAAUUGCCCGUAAGGCUUGACUCUAUAACCUUA